UCUGGUUGGUCUAAUCUGGCAUGUUGAGUUCUGUUCUGGUUGGUCUAAUCUGGCAUGUUGAGCUCUGGUCUGGUUGGUCUAAUCUGGCAUGUUGAGCUCUGUACUGGUUGGUCUAAUCUGGCAUGUUGAGCUCUGGUUGGUCUAAUCUGGCGUGUUGAGCUCUGUUCUGGUUGGUCUAAUCUGGCAUGUUGAGAUCUGGUCUGGUUGGUCUAAUCUGGCAUGUUGAGCUCUGGUCUGGUUGGUCUAAUCUGGCAUGUUGAGCUCUGCUCUGGUUGGUCUAAUCUGGCAUGUUGAGCUCUGGUCUGGUUGGUCUAAUCUGGCAUGUUGAGCUCUGCUCUGGUUGGUCUAAUCUGGCAUGUUGAGCUCUGGUCUGGUUGGUCUAAUCUGGCAUGUUGAGCUCUGCUCUGGUUGGUCUAAUCUGGCAUGUUGAGCUCUGGUCUGGUUGGUCUAAUCUGGCAUGUUGAGCUCUGGUUGGUCUAAUCUGGAGUGUUGAGCUCUGGUUGGUCUAAUCUGGCAUGUUGAGCUCUGUUCUGGUUGGUCUAAUCUGGCGUGUUGAGCUCUGUUCUGGUUGGUCUAAUCUGGCAUGUUGAGCUCUGGUUGGUUGGUCUAAUCUGGCAUGUUGAGCUCUGGUCUGGUUGGUCUAAUCUGGCAUGUUGAGCUCUGGUCUGGUUGGUUUAAUCUGGCAUGUUGAGCUCUGUUCUGGUUGGUCUAGUCUGGCAUGUUGAGCUCUGGUUGGUCUAAUCUGGCAUGUUGAGCUCUGGUCUGGUUGGUCUAAUCUGGCAUGUUGAGCUCUGGUUGGUUGGUCUAAUCUGGCAUGUUGAGCUCUGGUCUGGUUGGUCUAAUCUGGUGUGUUGAGGUCUGUUCUGGCUGGUCUAAUCUGGAAUGUUGAGCUCUGGUCUGGUUGGUCUAAUCUGGCAUGUUGAGCUCUGUUCUGGUUGGUCUAAUCUAGCAUGUUGAGCUCUGUUCUGGCUGGUCUAAUCUGGCAUGUUGAGCUCUGGUUGGUUGGUCUAAUCUGGCAUGUGGAGCUCUGGUCUGGUUGGUCUAAUCUGGCAUGUUGAGCUCUGUUCUUGUUGGU
Molecule: long non-coding RNA, 1075 nt
Organism: Salvelinus fontinalis (brook trout)
Lineage: Eukaryota; Metazoa; Chordata; Actinopteri; Salmoniformes; Salmonidae
Exons: 4
Source: RefSeq, a predicted model, not a curated record